AGUCAGCAGGAGAAGUGAACC
This 21-nucleotide non-coding RNA is filed under the name Mus musculus (house mouse). Lineage: Eukaryota; Metazoa; Chordata; Mammalia; Rodentia; Muridae. The record is from RNAcentral.